AGAGUUUGAUCAUGGCUCAGAACGAACGCUGGCGGCAUGCCUAACACAUGCAAGUCGAACGAGACCUUCGGGUCUAGUGGCGCACGGGUGCGUAACGCGUGGGAACCUGCCUUUAGGUUCGGAAUAACUCAGAGAAAUUUGAGCUAAUACCGGAUAAUGUCUUCGGACCAAAGAUUUAUCGCCUUUAGAUGGGCCCGCGUUGGAUUAGCUAGUUGGUGGGGUAAAGGCCUACCAAGGCGACGAUCCAUAGCUGGUCUGAGAGGAUGAUCAGCCACACUGGGACUGAGACACGGCCCAGACUCCUACGGGAGGCAGCAGUGGGGAAUAUUGGACAAUGGGCGAAAGCCUGAUCCAGCAAUGCCGCGUGAGUGAUGAAGGCCUUAGGGUUGUAAAGCUCUUUUACCCGAGAUGAUAAUGACAGUAUCGGGAGAAUAAGCUCCGGCUAACUCCGUGCCAGCAGCCGCGGUAAUACGGAGGGAGCUAGCGUUGUUCGGAAUUACUGGGCGUAAAGCGCACGUAGGCGGCUUUUUAAGUCAGGGGUGAAAUCCCGGGGCUCAACCCCGGAACUGCCCUUGAAACUGGGAAGCUAGAAUCUUGGAGAGGCGAGUGGAAUUCCGAGUGUAGAGGUGAAAUUCGUAGAUAUUCGGAAGAACACCAGUGGCGAAGGCGACUCGCUGGACAAGUAUUGACGCUGAGGUGCGAAAGCGUGGGGAGCAGACAGGAUUAGAUACCCCGGUAGUCC
RNAcentral lists this ribosomal RNA (742 nucleotides) under uncultured bacterium. Its description in RNAcentral is "bacterial SSU rRNA". It matches the Rfam family "Bacterial small subunit ribosomal RNA", at positions 8 to 796 of the family's 1533-position model. The record is from RNAcentral.